RNAcentral lists this ribosomal RNA (200 nucleotides) under uncultured bacterium. RNAcentral's name for it is "partial 16S ribosomal RNA". It matches the Rfam family "Bacterial small subunit ribosomal RNA", at positions 8 to 209 of the family's 1533-position model. The record is from RNAcentral.
AGAGUUUGAUCCUGGCUCAGGACGAACGCUGGCGGCGUGCUUAACACAUGCAAGUCGAGCGGAAAGGCCCUUCGGGGUACUCGAGCGGCGAACGGGUGAGUAACACGUGAGUAACCUGCCCCUAGCUCUGGGAUAAGCCCGGGAAACUGGGUCUAAUACCGGAUAUGACACGUCACCGCAUGGUGCGCGUGUGGAAAGUU